This 469-nucleotide ribosomal RNA is filed under the name uncultured bacterium. RNAcentral describes it as "bacterial SSU rRNA". It matches the Rfam family "Bacterial small subunit ribosomal RNA", at positions 329 to 795 of the family's 1533-position model. The record is from RNAcentral.
UUCCAGACUCCUACGGGAGGCAGCAGUGAGGAAUAUUGGUCAAUGGGCUUACGCCUGAACCAGCCAAGUCGCGUGAGGGAAGACUGCCCUGUGGGUUGUAAACCUCUUUUGUCAGGGAGCAACGCCGGCUACGUGUAGCCGGACUGAGAGUACCUGAAGAAAAAGCAUCGGCUAACUCCGUGCCAGCAGCCGCGGUAAUACGGAGGAUGCGAGCGUUAUCCGGAUUUAUUGGGUUUAAAGGGAGCGUAGGCCGGUCUUUAAGCGUGCCGUGAAAUUUUGUGGCUCAACCAUGGGAGUGCGGCGCGAACUGGAGACCUUGAGUGCGCGGAAGGCAGGCGGAAUUCGUGGUGUAGCGGUGAAAUGCUUAGAUAUCACGAAGAACCCCGAUUGCGAAGGCAACCUGCCGCAGCGUUACUGACGCUGAAGCUCGAAAGCGCGGGUAUCGAACAGGAUUAGAUACCCCCGUAUC